ACGGGAGGCAGCAGUGAGGAAUAUUGGUCAAUGGUCGGAAGACUGAACCAGCCAAGUAGCGUGCAGGAUGACGGCCCUAUGGGUUGUAAACUGCUUUUGUGCGGGAAUAACGGUCAUUACGUGUAAUGAUGUGCAUGUACCGUACGAAUAAGGAUCGGCUAACUCCGUGCCAGCAGCCGCGGUAAUACGGAGGAUCCGAGCGUUAUCCGGAUUUAUUGGGUUUAAAGGGAGCGUAGGCGGAGGAUCAAGUCAGCUGUGAAAUGUAGACGCUCAACGUCUGCACUGCAGUUGAAACUGGUUUUCUUGAGUGCGUAAGGGGCAGGCGGAAUUCGUCGUGUAGCGGUGAAAUGCUUAGAUAUGACGAAGAACUCCGAUCGCGAAGGCAGCUUGCCGGGCCGCAACUGACGCUGAAGCUCGAAGGUGCGGGUAUCGAACAGGAUUAGAUACCCUGGUA
RNAcentral lists this ribosomal RNA (454 nucleotides) under uncultured bacterium. RNAcentral describes it as "partial 16S ribosomal RNA". It matches the Rfam family "Bacterial small subunit ribosomal RNA", at positions 341 to 792 of the family's 1533-position model. The record is from RNAcentral.